AUGUGGUGUCGGGGGGCAGUGAAGCAGGAAGUAGGCGAGGUUGGGGUGGGACUCACUCUGUUGAUAAGCACCCUGGGCCACAGGGAUGCACACACUGUCAGCCCUUCUGCUCGUAAAGCUUUGGGGCCAGAGGUAGUCACAUGGCCCCUGGACCAACUAUCAGAGGCUGGAAAUGUCCGCAAGUGCCCAGGCCGUUUGCUCAGCCCCAUUGCCUCUUUUACCGGCCGAUUUUGGUUUGAGUUGAAUUCUCUCUUUUGAACUUGGAAUUCAAAAUGUUAGUGACAGCAUUUAGUCAACUUUUGCCUGCAAUAGGAGCAGCAGACCUAUUGAAUGCAUUACAUGAGAUCGCGUGUAUUGCGUUGUAUAAGCUUUGGGGCCAGAGGUAGUCACAUGGUCCUUGGACCAUCUCUCUUUUAUGGCCUCACAUCUCCUGACCCUGUAUUAUUUUCAAAGUCCCUUCACAGACUUCGUCUCAUCUGAUUGCCACAGAAAGAGAAUCUGUCAGAAGGACUGCUGUGCUUCCUUUUCAUUUCCUCCAGUCCAACAGCUGCGGGACCUGGGAAACAAGAUCUAUGGUGUAACGAGGGCGUAUCCUGUUAACCCUGGGACUCAUCUACCACACGGGAUUAGAGUCUGAGGCAGUAUUAAUUUUACGCCUGGAACUAGGUCUUGGUGGACUGCUACUUCAUCUCUUGCUCACUGUUAAUGAUGUCAGAGAUAGCUCGGCUCCACUUUGCCUGUGUUUGGGGAAACUGAGAAGAUUGGAGGCCGGAAGGCGGUGGGUGGGUGGCAUGGGAUUGGCAGUGCUGAGUCUGGGAGGCAAGGUUAAGCUCUACUGCUCCCCAGACUGUGCAAAACCACGUGCUGGGCGCUGUUCACACCCUUAUUAGAGUCUUCGUUGCAGGGGUGGUGAAAAAAGUUAAGAGAGGAUUCUAAAAAUAAAAGCGCACUAAAAUGAAAACAAAAUGUGAAAUGGCAUGGAAAUGGCAUGGAAAGAAAGAAGUAGUUGGAAGUUCUGGAUUACGGAAUGAUUCCCUUUGGUCGUGGCGAGGGCCAACUUCGAUUUCAACUUGUCCUUCUCAUAUAUUUUCUUAAAACGUUCUUGCCCGUAAAACAGAAGAGAUCCCCCGGACUGGUUUCUGAAGAAGGCCAAUGAUGAAUUUGUUUACCGAUUGACUGGCUGUGCUCAGCACGUCCGAACCAGGCUCCAGGCAGCCUUUCUGCAAGACGUUCUUCGCCGUUCUUCCCCCGUGUGGACAUUUGGCUUCUUCCUUCACUGUCUUUGGCCCUGGUGAUAAAAAGAGGAACAGACUCAUCAGUGAGGAAGAGAAGUCGCAAGCCAAAAGCGCAGAGAUAUUCCGGAACUUUCCAGGUGGGAGAGAAAGAAGAACAGAACGGGCGGGAAAAGCAACCCCAGCGUUCAGGGUUAACACUUUGCUUUUUGAGGAACCUUCAGUGCUUGGAAGGCUUCCAGUCUGAACUCGCAGAGUUCAUCAACAGGAAAACAAAUAGCUGGCAUGCUCCGUAUUUACUCUGCCUUUCUCAAGGUUGCAACAUAAAUUUCCCAACUUUGCAAGCUGUUAAAGCCGAGGAGACAUUUCGUGAGCUCGGGGCCUUCCCUCCAGUCUGUGUGACUCACGUGUGGCCCCAUUUUGGGAAAAUGUAGGUAGCAGCCCUCCGGGCUCGGGGGAAGACAGUGGCGGCACUGUGGACGCUCCCAGAGCAGACAGUGGGGGCGGAACGAUGGCCGGAAAACCUGAAUUCUCCAAACGAGAGCUGCCGGGCUGCCUUGGAAAAAAUGCACUUCGGCCACAGGAGCGAAAGCUCUGAGACCUUGCUGGGGGAAUUUAUAGCCGGCUCGCCAUGCAAAAUACCCAACGGUGUUUUAGUGAAGUGGUGUCCGAAUUGUAAUAUAGCUAGAUCAAUUCUGGAAGCAACCUUCUUCAACACCAUGGGAAUAUUUGUGUUCUCACUUUCAACAUUUCCAAUUAGCAGAGAAGCUAAUGCUGGAAACCACCACAUAUAAUCCAGAAAAAAACUGUCACCCUAACAUUAUAAAAAUUGAAUAUGUGUCAGAAGGGGAUUUAGAUUCUUUAGGUUAAUAUUAUUUUUGCUAUUAGGUAAUGAACUGACAUUAAUUUACUCGAGCUGCAUGAUUAGGUUAAUUUACUCCAGAAUAAUCUUGCAUUUUAAAAAUUAAAAAUGGUGGCCGUAUCUUCUCAUUAUCAAUCAAAGUAGCAGCAACACUGCAAAAACAUCGCCAUUUUGUACUCAAUUGUGCUCUUACAGACAGUCAAAUAAGCACUAAAAAUGACAAAUUACCAUGCUCAGAUAGAUCUUCAUGUUUAAGCACCUACAAAAAACUGUCCAUUUGUGAAUGGUUAAACUUAAUCAAUUAUUUUUCCUAUACGCAAGAUACCCUUUUUCACAAAUAGAAAUCUACAAACAAUAUUAGAGCAGUUUAAAUCUUAUAUAUAGGAAUGCUACAGCAUAGAAAAACAAAAUAAGCUCACACACACACCAAAGAAAGCUAAACAGUUUAUCCUUUUUUGACCUUCACAAAUAUAAAUGCUCUAUAUCUAUGGCUCUAUAAAUUAAGUCCUUUAAUGAUUCCAACGUGCUGAUAAUGUUCCUGCACUUGCUGGAACUAUGAUUCUGUUAAUACUUUGAAAAUUACUUUAAUUAACUUUAUUUCAUCUUGUAGUAGUUAUAGAACACUUUUAUAUAUUUUAAGUAUGCAUUAAUUUGUAUCAUCAUUAACCUUGGGUUUUGCCCUUGGUAAUUGUGGUAAUUUGUAAGUUGGGUUGAGCGAGGGGCCAGCGCCUUAGAACAAUACAUGUUGUGGGUCCCGUCAAUAGCUUGAGUAGGCAGGAGUCUUCCGUUUACAAGGGACAGAAAAAUAACUUGGAAGGGUAGAAGUAGAGGGGGCAUGGUUCAGCUGAAAAUUCCCAGGGAUGGAUUUUAUGUGGCCCGUGAGUGUGAUGGAGAAGGAGGGAAUCUUCUGAAUGGCCACGUCUGAGUUGGGCACCUACCCCACCCACCCCAACUCCUCCUCCUGAGAUGACAGAGGGAGGAAUCUGUUACAGAUGAAGAGGGUGGGAGAGGACACCCCCAAACAGUGUCCACCAUAACAGUUAAUCCAAUUUAUUUUAAAUUUUUAUAUCUUAAUAGUAAGAGCGUGUGCUCUGCCCCUUUCUUUUCUGACACAUCCAGACAGCCAAUUCCUGCCACCAUAUGUAACCUAGUUUGGGAUUUUUACCUCUGUACCCGCAAUUCGUCACAACUCUAAAAAACCCAGCUUUUCACCCUCACUGGCUUUCUAGAAACCUCGGUAGUAUCCAAUUCAUGGGCCCUGUGAGGCCCAUGACAGGGAUGCUAAGGCCAAGUUCCCUGCCCUCAGGGAGUUUAUGGAGGGAUGGAUGCUGCAGUCAGCUGAGUAAUUCGUGGGCAGGCACAUCUUUUCUCUGGAUGUGCCCUGGCAGGCCAGAAGAGGGCGGAGUGAGUUUCAGCAGAGGGGACCCAGCUGUAAUUACACAGCUGCAAACAACACGCUCCUUUCCUGAUUUGGAUUCUGUGUGAUGAAAAUUCUCAGUUCCAUCUUUCUCUAUAUUAACAUUACCUCCAUUCUGAGCACAUCGUGUUCAGUGACAGAAAAUGAUAUCACAUGAACCACAGAAGAUACUCAAUAGUUUAAGUAUAAUGUUUUAUAGAUGUCAAAGUGACAUCAUUUGAAGAAUCAGUGCUUUCAAAGAGCCAGAAUGCCUUCUAUUUAUUCUCCUCAUGCCCAACAGUUUUCAAGGUCUUGGUCUGCAGUCAGCUCCGCUCUGGGUGGAAGAUACGUAUUACUCCCUUGCAGACCACAGAGGGCUCAGGGGAGGUCAUGCCAGGCCCAUCCCCCUGAUGGUACAACUUACAUCUCACAUUGCUGCCAUGGUUGAGAGGGGUGUAUUUGUCUAUAGCUGCCCAGCAGGUGGAGGAAAGGUAUUAUAUGAAAAGGAAAACUCCUGGGUGGGUAGGAGUUUGGGCCAAGCCUUUCCUGCUUCUACAUAGAAGGAUGAGUAGUGGGGGGUCAGAGGCUGCAGUGCGUGCGGAAUUAUAAGACUUUUUCAGAUCAAGAUAAGGUCUUAGAGGUCACAUGGUUCUAUGCCCUUCUUUUACUAAUGAGCAGGAAGAUGGUGACAAAUUCCUUAUCACACAACCAGAGCAAGGCCCCCAGGCCCCCGGGUGGGUGAAUGGAAGUCUUCAUUGAUGCCAUCUUCUUUCCUUGCAUGUCCUGUGUUGAAGGCUAACUAUUUAACAAACAAUCCAAAUCACAGUGACUCAACACAAUAGGAGUUAUAUCUUGCUUGUGGACCCAGUUUAAUGUCACUGUUAGGUGGGCACCUUCCAUGCGGUGAUUCAGGGACCCAAGCAUCUUUUGUUCUGUGGGUCUUCCAUUCCCGGCAGCUUAGAAGUUACUUGUUGGACUUAGGCAGAGAGGGAGAGUGAAAGAUUGUGUAGGAGAUGGGCAAGACUGGAAGUGGUGUCCCUCACUUCUACCCAUAUUCCCCUGGGCUGGAGGCCACUCAUGAGGCCGUACCUUACUGCAAGGGAGGCUGGGAUAUGUAGUCCAGCUGUGUGCAAAGCAAGGAAAUAGAUGGGUUUGUGUAAGCACACGGCAGUGUCAUUUCAGUCUUUGGGAAGUUUAUAUUGAGCAGUGGAGGACACGUGACCUUGGGACCUGGACAGACUUGGAUUUGGAUACUGGUUUUGUGGCCUUGGGCACAAAUCUCAGUUUGCUCAGCUGGGGUAAUGGGAGUAUUCUGUGGGGUCACUGUGAGCAUUAAACGAGAUAGGGGAUGUAACAUGUCUGUGCCACAGUACUCUCACCGUGUUUUUACAAGCCACUGGGACUAGGUGGAGUAGGGAAGAGGAGGAAACAGACAGGCUUCUUGUGUCCCCUUUUGACCAAGCCUGGGUGCCAGAGCUGCCAAGCAGGGCCCAGCCGAGUCCAGAAAACAUGCUCCAUUAGGUGCCAAGAAUGGGGGCACUUUCCUCGGUCUCUUGCUGAAUCUCAAAAUACUGUAAUUCAUUCUCAUCAACAUGGGAUUUUGAAAGGAAAAAAAUCCAGAAAAACCACAGGCAUCCAUUUCAUUUGAUUAAUAAAAAUUCAGUCACUUUGCAUGCA
Long non-coding RNA from Zalophus californianus (California sea lion), 5167 nucleotides. RefSeq lists it as uncharacterized. NCBI's taxonomy places the organism in Eukaryota, Metazoa, Chordata, Mammalia, Carnivora, Otariidae. The transcript has 2 exons. The record is from RefSeq and is a predicted model, not a curated record.